UCUCAGAGCAACAAUUUCAUAAGCUGUGGGCUUAAGCUCUUAAAAUAAUUAAAAACAAGGUACUUGGAAGAUGAUCUGUCUCCAUUCAAUAAAACUGGCUACUACUGUGGAGGAAAAAUAAACAUCCACAAGUAUUUAGGCAGAGACUCAUUCCUCAUUAAAGAUGAUACAACUCUGUAAAUAUUCACGUAUGACUAGUUCCUCAGAGACAAUGAAAUAAGAAGAAGGUUUUGGUAAUGUGCUUCUUCUUCAGUAAAUACAUCUUUCUCUGGAAACUAAAUCCUUCCUCUGGACAAGCAUCACUACGUCAAGCAAUUCUGUACAAAACUGAAGUACAGCAAUUAUCAAGAAAUUAAUA
This is a long non-coding RNA of Corapipo altera (White-ruffed manakin), 358 nucleotides long. RefSeq lists it as uncharacterized. NCBI's taxonomy places the organism in Eukaryota, Metazoa, Chordata, Aves, Passeriformes, Pipridae. The transcript is spliced from 4 exons. The record is from RefSeq and is a predicted model, not a curated record.